This 914-nucleotide ribosomal RNA is filed under the name uncultured marine archaeon. Its description in RNAcentral is "bacterial SSU rRNA". It matches the Rfam family "Archaeal small subunit ribosomal RNA", at positions 1 to 922 of the family's 1478-position model. The record is from RNAcentral.
UUCCGGUUGAUCCUGCCGGACCUGACUGCUAUCGGAUUGAUACUAAGCCAUGCGAGUCAUUGUAGUAAUACAAGGCAGACGGCUCAGUAACGCGUAGUCAACCUACCCUAUGGACGAGGAUAAUCUCGGGAAACUGAGGAUAAUACUCGAUAGACCAUUAUGCCUGGAACGGUUUAUGGUUAAAAUGAUUCGUCGCCAUAGGAUGGGACUGCGGCCUAUCAGCUUGUUGGUGAGGUAAUGGCCCACCAAGGCGAUUACAGGUACGGGCUCUGAGAGGAGAAGCCCGGAGAUGGGUACUGAGACAAGGACCCAGGCCCUAUGGGGCGCAGCAGGCGAGAAAACUUUGCAAUGUGCGAAAGCACGACAAGGUUAGUCCGAGUGAUUUCUGCUAAAGAAAUCUUUUGCAAGUUAUAAAACCACUAGUGAAUAAGGGGUGGGCAAGUUCUGGUGUCAGCCGCCGCGGUAAAACCAGCACCUCAAGUGGUCAGGAUGAUUAUUGGGCCUAAAGCAUCCGUAGCCUGCUCUGUUAGUUUUCGGUUAAAUCCAUGUGCUCAACACAUGGGCUGCCGAAAAUACUGCAGAGCUAGGGAGUGGGAGAGGUAGACGGUACUCAGUAGGAAGGGGUAAAAUCCUUUGAUCUAUUGAUGACCACCUGUGGCGAAGGCGGUCUACCAGAACACGUUCGACGGUGAGGGAUGAAAGCUGGGGGAGCAAACCGGAUUAGAUACCCGGGUAGUCCCAGCUGUAAACGAUGCAGACUCGAUGAUGCAUUGGCUUAUUGCCAAUGCAGUGUCGCAGGGAAGCCGUUAAGUCUGCCGCCUGGGAAGUACGUACGCAAGUAUGAAACUUAAAGGAAUUGGCGGGGGAGCACCACAAGGGGUGAAGCCUGCGGUUCAAUUGGAUUCAACGCCGGG